AACGCGAAGAACCUUACCAAGGCUUGACAUAUACCGAAAACUCAUAGAGAUAUGGGGUCCGCAAGGGCGGUAUACAGGUGGUGCAUGGUUGUCGUCAGCUCGUGUCGUGAGAUGUUGGGUUAAGUCCCGCAACGAGCGCAACCCUCGUCCUAUGUUGCCAGCACGUGAUGGUGGGGACUCAUAGGAGACUGCCGGGGUCAACUCGGAGGAAGGUGGGGAUGACGUCAAAUCAUCAUGCCCCUUAUGUCUUGGGCUUCACGCAUGCUACAAUGGCCGGUACAAAGGGCUGCGAUACCGCGAGGUGGAGCGAAUCCCAAAAAGCCGGUCUCAGUUCGGAUUGGGGUCUGCAACUCGACCCCAUGAAGUCGGAGUCGCUAGUAAUCGCAGAUCAGCAACGCUGCGGUGAAUACGUUCCCGGGCCUUGUACACACCG
Molecule: ribosomal RNA, 433 nt
Filed under: uncultured bacterium
Lineage: Bacteria
Description: bacterial SSU rRNA
Rfam family: Bacterial small subunit ribosomal RNA
Source: RNAcentral